Molecule: ribosomal RNA, 279 nt
Filed under: uncultured bacterium
Lineage: Bacteria
Description: partial 16S ribosomal RNA
Rfam family: Bacterial small subunit ribosomal RNA
Source: RNAcentral
UGCCAGCCGCCGCGGUAAUACGGAGGGGGCUAGCGUUGUUCGGAAUUACUGGGCGUAAAGCGCGCGUAGGCGGGCUGGUCAGUUGGGGGUGAAAUCCCGGGGCUCAACCCCGGAACUGCCUUGUAAACUCCUGGUCUUGAGUUCGAGAGAGGUGAGUGGAAUUCCGAGUGUAGAGGUGAAAUUCGUAGAUAUUCGGAGGAACACCAGUGGCGAAGGCGGCUCACUGGCUCGAUACUGACGCUGAGGUACGAAAGCGUGGGGAGCAAGCAGGAUUAGAUA